RNAcentral lists this ribosomal RNA (109 nucleotides) under Acheilognathus majusculus. Its description in RNAcentral is "large subunit ribosomal RNA". The record is from RNAcentral. Lineage: Eukaryota; Metazoa; Chordata; Actinopteri; Cypriniformes; Acheilognathidae.
CACCGCCCGUCACUCUCCCCUGUCAAAAUGCAACAAAAAUACCUAAUCCCAAAGCGCCGACAAGGGGAGGCAAGUCGUAACAUGGUAAGUGUACCGGAAGGUGCACUUG